AAUGAACGCUGGCGGCGCGCCUAAUACAUGCAAGUCGAGCGAGAAGACGUAGCAAUACGUUUGUAAAGCGGCGAACGGGUGAGGAAUACAUGGGUAACCUACCCUAGAGUGGGGAAUAACUAGCCGAAAGGUUAGCUAAUACCGCGUACGCUCCUUGGACUUCGGUUCAGGGAGGAAAGCGAUGCCGAGGGUAUCGCGCUCUUGGAUGGGCUCAUGUCCUAUCAGCUUGNGGUGAGGUAACGGCUCACCAAGGCUUCGACGGGUAGCUGGUCUGAGAGGACGAUCAGCCACACUGGCACUGCGACACGGGCCAGA
This 315-nucleotide ribosomal RNA is filed under the name uncultured bacterium. RNAcentral describes it as "bacterial SSU rRNA". It matches the Rfam family "Bacterial small subunit ribosomal RNA", at positions 29 to 335 of the family's 1533-position model. The record is from RNAcentral.